This 246-nucleotide unclassified non-coding RNA is filed under the name Hevea brasiliensis (rubber tree). The record is from RNAcentral. Lineage: Eukaryota; Viridiplantae; Streptophyta; Magnoliopsida; Malpighiales; Euphorbiaceae.
AAUAUGAGCAAAAUUUUUGCUUUGUUUUUUGUGCUUAAAAAUGCAUACUUGUACCCUCAAAACUAAAAUUAAGUUUUAUUCCCAACUGAUCGAGUCAGGUCUUGAAUUUUUUUUUAAUUGUAAAAAAAGGCUCUUAAACUUGUUAGUCGCUAUUACAUUUGAUUCGGAACUACCAGUUAGAUGUUGUCUUACUUGAUUCAAGCUACUUGAAGGUGCACUAAUCACUGAGCAUUGUUGGAAGGCACA